RNAcentral lists this ribosomal RNA (21 nucleotides) under Hemicriconemoides chitwoodi. RNAcentral describes it as "partial 5.8S ribosomal RNA". Lineage: Eukaryota; Metazoa; Nematoda; Chromadorea; Rhabditida; Criconematidae. The record is from RNAcentral.
UGGAUCACUCGGCUCGUACCG